UACGGGGGGGGCAAGCGUUGUUCGGAAUUACUGGGCGUAAAGGGCUCGUAGGUGGCCAACUAAGUCAGACGUGAAGUCCCUCGGCUUAACCGGGGAACUGCGUCUGAUACUGAUUGGCUUGAGUGUGGGAGAGGGAUGCGGAAUUCCAGGUGUAGCGGUGAAAUGCGUAGAUAUCUGGAGGAACACCGGUGGCGAAGGCGCCUGUCUGGCCCAAUACUGACGCUGAGGCGCGAAAGCUAGGGGAGCAAACGGG
Molecule: ribosomal RNA, 253 nt
Filed under: uncultured bacterium
Lineage: Bacteria
Description: partial 16S ribosomal RNA
Rfam family: Bacterial small subunit ribosomal RNA
Source: RNAcentral